Molecule: ribosomal RNA, 425 nt
Filed under: uncultured bacterium
Lineage: Bacteria
Description: partial 16S ribosomal RNA
Rfam family: Bacterial small subunit ribosomal RNA
Source: RNAcentral
GUGGGGAAUAUUGGACAAUGGGCGCAAGCCUGAUCCAGCCAUGCUGCGUGAGUGAUGAAGGCCUUAGGGUUGUAAAGCUCUUUCGUCAGGGAAGAUAAUGACGGUACCUGAAGAAGAAGCCCCGGCUAACUUCGUGCCAGCAGCCGCGGUAAUACGAAGGGGGCUAGCGUUGCUCGGAAUCACUGGGCGUAAAGCGCACGUAGGCGGCUUUCUAAGUCAGGGGUGAAAUCCUGGAGCUCAACUCCAGAACUGCCUUUGAUACUGGAGAGCUUGAGUUCGGGAGAGGUGAGUGGAACUGCGAGUGUAGAGGUGAAAUUCGUAGAUAUUCGCAAGAACACCAGUGGCGAAGGCGGCUCACUGGCCCGAUACUGACGCUGAGGUGCGAAAGCGUGGGGAGCAAACAGGAUUAGAAACCCGGGUAGUCC